Molecule: non-coding RNA, 29 nt
Filed under: Rattus norvegicus (Norway rat)
Lineage: Eukaryota; Metazoa; Chordata; Mammalia; Rodentia; Muridae
Source: RNAcentral
UUGGAGACAGAUUUGGACAGCUAAGAAAU